This 68-nucleotide transfer RNA is filed under the name Gryllotalpa unispina. RNAcentral describes it as "tRNA-Gln". The record is from RNAcentral. Lineage: Eukaryota; Metazoa; Arthropoda; Insecta; Orthoptera; Gryllotalpidae.
UAUAUUUUGGUGUAUGAAGCACGGGAGUUUUUGAUACUCCAGGAAUGGUUUAACUCCAUUAAAUAUAA